Molecule: ribosomal RNA, 508 nt
Filed under: uncultured bacterium
Lineage: Bacteria
Description: partial 16S ribosomal RNA
Rfam family: Bacterial small subunit ribosomal RNA
Source: RNAcentral
GACGAACGCUGGCGGCGUGCUUAACACAUGCAAGUCGAACGGGAUAAUUUGAGAGCUUGCUCUUAGAGCAUCUAGUGGCAAACGGGUGAGUAACACGUAGACAACCUGCCGACAGGAUGGGGACAACAUUCCGAAAGGAAUGCUAAUACCGAAUGAAGCGGAGGAGAGGCAUCUCUCCUCCGUGAAAGAUGGCCUCUGAAUAUGCUAUCACCUGUCGAUGGGUCUGCGUCUGAUUAGCUAGUUGGUGAGGUAACGGCUCACCAAGGCGACGAUCAGUAGCCGGUCUGAGAGGAUGAACGGCCACAUUGGGACUGAGACACGGCCCAGACUCCUACGGGAGGCAGCAGUGGGGAAUCUUCCGCAAUGGGCGCAAGCCUGACGGAGCAACGCCGCGUGAGUGAAGAAGGUCUUCGGAUCGUAAAGCUCUGUUGACGGGGACGAACGUGCGAAGGGUGAAUAAUCCUUUGUAAUGACGGUACCUGUCGAGGAAGCCACGGCUAACUACGUG